UGCAUACCCCUUAUGUGAUCGGGCCUUAACUCCAACCAGUGUCUUAGGCUGCCUUCCAUGAGUUCAGCAAAAAAGGCGGGGAGAGUCAGUUCUGGGGAUCAGAGCAGUAGAGAUACCGAAGUAGUAAAUCCCGUGGGCUACACCUGCCCCCAACGCCCGCCAUUUGCUGUCAAUCCUAGCCUCGGGGCGGAGCCCGGUGAAAGCUAAAGAGGGUAUGCAAGCCAGGGAGACCCUGUAGAGCGGCGGGAGAGGGGGAGGAGCCGCUCCGAGGGGCCUAUAGGCACCACACCUGAGGCGGGCUAUUCCGACUCCUCCCCCACGACGGCAGGAAAACGGGAGCCGGGUUCUCCCGAAGUUCGGUGCUGAUGGCGGGGGAACUGUACGUCCCCGACUUUUCUCUCGUCCGGGAGCUCCUGGAGCUGCCCUGUCCGGAUCCGGCUCCCGCUCCCGCUCUCAGAGCUGCCAACCCCACCCCUGCCGCUCCAUCACCGAACCCCGGUGCAAGGACUCCGGUUUCCUCGGCAGAGUCCUGGAGUGAAAGUAAUAAUACAAGGCCUAAGCGGCCGGAGAUGGUGCAGCGACCGUGCCCUUUCACCCUGCCCUUUGGCCUGCAAUGGGGAGUCUCACCCAGGUCCAUGGCUUCUUCACCCGUGCCACUUGCCCUCCGCCUCCUCCAGGAGACAGCCGAACUGCUGCCG
Ornithorhynchus anatinus (platypus) is the source of this 698-nucleotide long non-coding RNA. RefSeq lists it as uncharacterized. The record is from RefSeq and is a predicted model, not a curated record. The transcript has 3 exons. NCBI's taxonomy places the organism in Eukaryota, Metazoa, Chordata, Mammalia, Monotremata, Ornithorhynchidae.